This 486-nucleotide ribosomal RNA is filed under the name uncultured bacterium. RNAcentral describes it as "partial 16S ribosomal RNA". It matches the Rfam family "Bacterial small subunit ribosomal RNA", at positions 30 to 507 of the family's 1533-position model. The record is from RNAcentral.
AUUGAACGCUGGCGGCAGGCUUAACACAUGCAAGUCGAGCGGAAACGAUGUAGCUUGCUCCAGGCGUCGAGCGGCGGACGGGUGAGUAACGCGUAGGAAUCUGCCUAGUAGUGGGGGACAACAUGUGGAAACGCAUGCUAAUACCGCAUACGCCCUACGGGGGAAAGGAGGGGAUCUUCGGACCUUUCGCUCUUAGAUGAGCCUGCGUAAGAUUAGCUAGUUGGUAGGGUAAAGGCCUACCAAGGCGACGAUCUUUAACUGGUCUGAGAGGAUGGCCAGUCACACUGGGACUGAGACACGGCCCAGACUCCUACGGGAGGCAGCAGUGGGGAAUAUUGGACAAUGGGCGCAAGCCUGAUCCAGCCAUGCCGCGUGUGUGAAGAAGGCCUUAGGGUUGUAAAGCACUUUCAGGGGUGAGGAAGGGUGUUUGGUUAAUAUCCAAACAUUUUGACGUUAGCCCCAGAAGAAGCACCGGCUAACUCUGUG